UGGACUGUGGACUCUUUAGGUCUCAGGGUUUUUGUUUGUUGUCUGUUUUUCACUUCCAAAACCAGAAAAUGAGAAGAUAUUUUCCAUAAGAUGGCGGUGGAGAAGAGAACUUGAUGGACCUUGCUUGGACAAAAUGCCUUCACCGCUAACUCAGUCAGCUAUGGCGAUGGGUCAAGGACCUGGUGGUUUUACAGAGAAGACCCUUGGUCAAAUCUUUGUGAAUGAAGCAACCAUUCUGAUGUUCAAUAACAGGGUAAGUGCUGGCCAAUGAUGUCAUUAUCGUCCAUCCUGUGGCUUCCACACAUCAGUGAUCUUAUUAGAUACCUGCAAUUUCAACCCACUAUAUCAGAAUUCCAUAGGAAUGAGUUGUUUUUAAAGUUCUUCAGAGUGAAUUUGGAUGCUCAGUCAUUAUAAAGAACUAUCUUCAUCCUACAAAGACUGGUGUUUUUUCUUUCCUUGUUUAUCUUGGAAUUUUUUUCCAAUUGCAGCCUUGAAAACCAUUUCCAAUAAUGUCAGAAUUUGCUUAAAAGAUUGUGAAAGACGGUAAUCUGGAUUGUAAUACUGGGUCAAAGAGACCAUACCAGGAGCCAACCAUGCUAAAUCUAACUUUAAAAUACAGAAUUACAAUGUUAAGACAAGUUCCAUAGAGUGAUAAGGUCUAUGUGGUACUUACUAUUUUACACACAUUUUCCUACACUUAGUGUAACUGUCUCCUAAUUAAAUGCAAUUGUUUUAAAUUAGCUGAUGUGUGUUUUAUGUGAUAUAGCUUUAUAUCCUAAGCCAGAAUAAAAAUAUUCUGAGAGUGACA
This 808-nucleotide long non-coding RNA is filed under the name Homo sapiens (human). Its description in RNAcentral is "long intergenic non-protein coding RNA 2347". The record is from RNAcentral. Lineage: Eukaryota; Metazoa; Chordata; Mammalia; Primates; Hominidae.